This is a non-coding RNA of Pelobates cultripes (western spadefoot toad), 1374 nucleotides long. NCBI's taxonomy places the organism in Eukaryota, Metazoa, Chordata, Amphibia, Anura, Pelobatidae. The record is from the annotation of a GenBank genome assembly.
AAACACUUUCCCCCCGAUUGUCUGGAUAAUAAGUUAACAGUUUGUAAAAGGCACAGAUCCCUUUUCACAGAAAGAUCAGUAUUGUUUGUUUAUUACAUGUGCCGGCCUGCGUACAGUACGUGUUCAGAGGACAGUGCAUGCUAUAUACAACCCCAUGUACUAUAUACAAUGAUCCUAUUUAAUGCAGAGGGCUAGUGUAGGGACUAUCUGCUCACUUUGCUCAUCUCAGAACCUACACUCUCACUCCUAAAGGUGAGGUUUCCUCAGAGAGUGGAUGCUUAGUGACUCACCAUGAGGCUCACACUAAAAAGUUUUUUCUUACAAGGAGAUUGAGUCUUUACUAACCAAGGACUCUUUCUUUGGAAACCUGUUAAUGUGGAAGAAGAUAAUGCAUACUAAUGCAUGUACAGGCACACAGUCAUAUAAUUACACAUGCACACACAAUCAUAAUCACACAGGCACACAGUCAUAUAAUUACAUAGGCACACAGAGUCAUAUAAUUACACAUGCACACACAGUCAUAUAAUUACACAGGCACACACAGUCAUAUAAUUACAUAGGCACACACAGUCAUAUAAUUACACAUGCACACACAGUCAUAUAAUUACACAGGCACACAGUCAUAUAAUUACAUAGGCACACACAGUCAUCUCAUCGUAUACACACAUAUGACACAUGCAUACUGUGACACAUACAGGUACAAAUCCACUCACAUAACACAAGCAUAUGACACACAAAUGUACAUGACACGCAUGCAUAUGCACACAAAGGCAUUUAAUGUCAUUCCUAUAUGCAUACACACACUGAAGAACAUGCACAGAAAUACAGACAAAUUCGCAAACCACAAACACAUCCCGAAACACAUACAGGCGCACACACGAUCAUAUAUACACUAACAAAAUUAAACAUCCAAAUACUUGUGUGUGACAAUGUAAUGGUCAAUACACCCCAUUACUGUAAAACAUUAAAGGGACACUAUAGUCACCAGAACAACUACAGCUUAUUGAAUUUGUUCUGGUGAGUAGAGUCAUUACCUUCAGUCUUUUUUGCUGUAAACAGUGUUUGUUUCAGAGAAAAUGCAGUGUUUACAUUACAGCCUAGUGAUACCUCCACUGGCCACUCCUCAGAUGGCUGCUAGAUGUGCUUCCUGGGGCAAUGCUGCACAGUGUGACUGACAGUCAGUGUCUCCACCAUCUGCAUGCAGACACUGAACUUUCCUCAGAGAUGCAUUGAUUUAAUGUAUCUGUAUGAGGAGAUGCUGAUUGGCCAGGGCUGUGUUUGGCUUGUGCUGGCUCUGCCACUGAUCUGCCUCCUUGACAGUCUCAGCCAAUCCUAUGGAGAAGCAUUGUGAUUGGCUCAGACCACCACUUCUGA